GGAAGUAAAAGUCGUGACAAGGUCUCCGUUGGUGAACCAGCGGAGGGAUCAUUACCGAGUGCAAACUCAUAACCCUUUGUGAACCUAUAUCUGUUGCUUCGGCGGCUCGCUCUCGGGCGAGCCCGCCGGUAAUAUCAGUAUCUCUGUUUGAACCCGACGAUACUUCUGAGUGUUCUUAGCGAACAGUUAAAACUUUUAACAACGGAUCUCUUGGCUCUA
RNAcentral lists this unclassified non-coding RNA (219 nucleotides) under plant metagenome. RNAcentral's name for it is "partial contains small subunit ribosomal RNA, internal transcribed spacer 1, and 5.8S ribosomal RNA". The stretch from base 1 to 54 matches the Rfam family "Eukaryotic small subunit ribosomal RNA", at positions 1778 to 1831 of the family's 1831-position model. The record is from RNAcentral.